This 253-nucleotide ribosomal RNA is filed under the name uncultured bacterium. RNAcentral describes it as "partial 16S ribosomal RNA". It matches the Rfam family "Bacterial small subunit ribosomal RNA", at positions 524 to 776 of the family's 1533-position model. The record is from RNAcentral.
UACGGAGGGUGCAAGCGUUGCUCGGAAUUAUUGGGCGUAAAGGGUAGGUAGGUGGUCUCGUUUGUCUGCGGUGAAAGCCUUGGGCUUAACCUAAGAAGUGCCGCAGAAACGGCGAGACUCGAGUCCUGGAGAGGGUCGUGGAAUUCCUGGUGUAGCGGUGAAAUGCGUAGAGAUCAGGAGGAACACCCGAGGCGAAAGCGGCGACCUGGACAGGCACUGACACUCAACUACGAAAGCGUGGGGAGCAAACAGG